Molecule: ribosomal RNA, 460 nt
Filed under: uncultured bacterium
Lineage: Bacteria
Description: partial 16S ribosomal RNA
Rfam family: Bacterial small subunit ribosomal RNA
Source: RNAcentral
CCUACGGGUGGCAGCAGUGAGGAAUAUUGGUCAAUGGACGAGAGUCUGAACCAGCCAAGUAGCGUGAAGGAUGACUGCCCUAUGGGUUGUAAACUUCUUUUAUAUGGGAAUAAAACAGGGUAUGCAUACCCUCUUGUAUGUAUCAUAUGAGUAAGGAUAGGCUAACUCCGCGCCAGCAGCCGCGGUAAUACGGAGGAUCCGAGUGUUAUCCGGAUUUAUUGGGUUUAAAGGGAGCGUAGGUGGAUUGUUAAGUCAGUUGUGAAAGUUUGCGGCUCAACCGUGAAAUUGCAGUUGAAACUGGCAGUCGUGAGUACAGUAGAGGUGGGCGGAAUGCGUGGUGUAGCGGUGAAAUGCUUAGAUAUCACGAAGAACUCCGAUUGCGAAGGCAGCUGACUGGACUGCAACUGACGCUGAGGCUCGAAAGUGUGGGUAUCAAACAGGAUUAGAUACCCUGGUAGUC